GGGCAUGGUGUGCUUGUCUGAUGGACAGGGCAGCUUAGGGGAAUAAGUCUCUGCAGCGUUGUAGUGAAGAGAGAAUACGGGACAACUGCAGGACCACAGCUCAGCCAAGAGCUCCCUUGCAGCUGAGUUGGCCAUAUGACUGACAGCAAGCCCUGGAAUGCAGCCAGAAGUGAUAGAAGCCUCUUUCACACCAUGCUCCUAAAAUAUUCCAAGAAAUUUUCCAAACCUACUCUUUUUAGUCUGUGCAUCUGGAAGUGAAAGUUUUAGAAAGGGUAAAGUCACUUAAUGGAAAGGGCCCAGAUCUAGCCCCUCGGAGCCAAGCUGUCCAACUAGAAAUUCUGCAUUAGUAUUUGCGACAGAUCUUUGGAGAGAAAAUGCCAAGAGUGGAUGGAGAGGCAAUGGUGAAGCUGAGGCUGAAGUCGGAGGAAGCUGUGAACCCUGCAUGGGGUACCUGAACACCAGGGCAAGUUUCUGGCCCAGAAUGGCUUCUGGGAAAGGGGAUAUGACAUCUUAGGAAGAAGGGACUGGGGGAAAGAAAGCACUUUCUGCUUCUGUGGAUAUAAACACACAGUGUUUUAUUCCCUAGUGCAACAAAACCUCAAGAUCAACAGACAAGAGCUGAAAACCCUUUCCCACCAGACACAGUGCCAUCUAAAUGUUCUCUCAAAAGAUAGCAUCUCAUAAACAAUUUCAACAAAAGGAUGUCAGCUUUUACUUUAUGUGCAUGCACAAAAUCACUUUUCAGGAAAAAAAAUGACCAUUACCGAAUCCAUCAUAAAAUUAAUUACAUUUAGUUGAUCACGUUGGCUGACUGGUUAUAACUCUUGCUGUAUUUUCCAGAAGUGUGUUUCAUUUUAUUUAUCAUUAAAGGAAAAAAUAUUGUAGUUUUCCAAUAUACUGUCUAUUGGUGGUUCUCAAACUCCAGUGUAUGCCACAAUUGCCAAAGAAAUUUAACUAAAUGCAGAUUCCUUGGCACUGUCCCUCAAAAUUCCUAUUUACUUUUUCUGGUAUAAGGUACAGAUAAUUCUGAUUUACUUAAGCUAUGGUUUUAGAAACACUACACUCUAAUUCUAAUUAUUCAUGUUAGUUCUCAUGAAAAUAUUCACAUUAAUUCUAAUGAAAUAUAAUGUGACAAUACUAUAUGUAAGAAUUUCCUCCCUGACUUCAUUUUGAUAUGAAUAGGAGGCAGGGAAAUACUGGGUAGAAGGGGGCAGUUCCCCAGCAAAGGCCCCACCUGAACCCUGGAAACCCAUGGCCCUAAAUGGGAACAGGCAUUUCUGUUUUUGCACCCAAAUGUUGCCUUUUCCAAGACCAUUCUGGCCUGCCAUGCCCCUAUCCUGUGUCCAUAUAAACUCCAAGCUCCAGUGGCAAAGUGGCAGAAUGGCAUGACAGAGAAGCAGAGAAUAGAAGGAGUGUCUGAACAUCAGGAAGAUUUUGGCUGGGGACGGUCGGAGAGAGAUCAGCUGCAGGAUGACUGAACUCCAGGGGAAGAUCAUCUUCCCACUCCAUCCCCUUUCCAGGUCCCCAUCCAUCCCACUGAGAGCCACCCCCAUCACUCAAUAAAAUCCCCACAUUCACCAUCCUUCAAGUUCGUGUGACCUGAUUCUCUCUGGAUCCUGGACAAGGACCUGGGUACCAAGAGGGCAGGGUGUAAAAGGCUGUCACCCUGACUCUCCACUGAGCUGGAAUAGCCAUCCAUGGACAGCAACUGCUAAAAGAGCAUUAAGUGUAAUAUAUCCCUAGAUGCUAAAGUGGAGUUGGAGCCCAAGAGUGCUCACCCCAGCUCCUGCACCUGCCCAUCUGCAUGCUCCUACUCCCAUAAGGGGUUUGAGCAUGCAGUGGCCCAGCAAACAAGCCACAUCCCUGUUGCAAGUCCCACAACGGGGUCAGGGAACUCUCCCGUUUUAAUUUCAUUGGUAAUUUCCUAAAAUUGACUGUUGAUUCCUAUGUUCCUUUCAAUGGAUUGCUCUUUUGAGGAAAUUAC
Homo sapiens (human) is the source of this 1984-nucleotide long non-coding RNA. Ensembl annotates it as long intergenic non-protein coding RNA 499. The record is from Ensembl. NCBI's taxonomy places the organism in Eukaryota, Metazoa, Chordata, Mammalia, Primates, Hominidae.